AGUGAACGCUGGCGGUAGGCCUAACACAUGCAAGUCGAACGGCAGCACAGUAAGAGCUUGCUCUUACGGGUGGCGAGUGGCGGACGGGUGAGGAAUACAUCGGAAUCUACUUUUUCGUGGGGGAUAACGUAGGGAAACUUACGCUAAUACCGCAUACGACCUACGGGUGAAAGCAGGGGAUCUUCGGACCUUGCGCGAUUGAAUGAGCCGAUGUCGGAUUAGCUAGUUGGCGGGGUAAAGGCCCACCAAGGCGACGAUCCGUAGCUGGUCUGAGAGGAGGAUCAGCCACACUGGAACUGCGACACGGUCCAGACUCCUACGGGAGGAAGCAGUGGGGAAUAUUGGACAAUGGGCGCAAGCCUGCUCCAGCCAUACCGCGUGGGUGAAGAAGGCCUUCGGGUUGUAAAGCCCUUUUGUUGGGAAAGAAAAGCAGCAGGUUAAUACCCCGCUGUUCUGACGGUACCCAAAGAAUAAGCACCGGCUAACUUCGUG
RNAcentral lists this ribosomal RNA (492 nucleotides) under uncultured bacterium. RNAcentral's name for it is "partial 16S ribosomal RNA". It matches the Rfam family "Bacterial small subunit ribosomal RNA", at positions 29 to 507 of the family's 1533-position model. The record is from RNAcentral.